This is a long non-coding RNA of Uranotaenia lowii, 337 nucleotides long. RefSeq lists it as uncharacterized. The record is from RefSeq and is a predicted model, not a curated record. Lineage: Eukaryota; Metazoa; Arthropoda; Insecta; Diptera; Culicidae. The transcript has 3 exons.
UAGUCAACCCUGACCCCGAUUGUUCGUCAACGGAACGGAUUCCCCUAGCAUUCAUCAAAAUUGAAGGAAAUUCGCUACACCGCUUGGCAUCCGAUGGAACGGCUAAAGAAAAAUUCAAGAAGAACCAAUCAGACAUAUGGAUCAUUAAUUUUGGCUGCCCGUUCUUGCGAGGAAUCAGCCAACACCGAACUCGAUCGUUUGCCAGUGCGACACAUUUUAGCAGAAUUCGAGAAAAAUGGAAUCUUCUAUUCCUCUGCUGUACAGCAGACGGAAUUUCCGAUAUAGGAUCCCAGGAGGAAAGCAAGCCAAACAACCUGAUUGUCCUGCCCAGUUACCC